AUCGCAUGAUGCAGUGUGAAAAACUCCGGUGGUAUAAGAUGGACCCGCGUUGGAUUAGCUAGUUGGUGAGGUAACGGCCCACCAAGGCGACGAUCCAUAGCCGACCUGAGAGGGUGACCGGCCACAUUGGGACUGAGACACGGCCCAAACUCCUACGGGAGGCAGCAGUGGGGAAUAUUGCACAAUGGGCGAAAGCCUGAUGCAGCGACGCCGCGUGAGCGAAGAAGUACUUCGGUAUGUAAAGCUCUAUCAGCAGGGAAGAUAAUGACGGUACCUGACUAAGAAGCACCGGCUAAAUACGUGCCAGCAGCCGCGGUAAUACGUAUGGUGCAAGCGUUAUCCGGAUUUACUGGGUGUAAAGGGAGCGCAGGCGGUGCGGCAAGUCUGAUGUGAAAGCCCGGGGCUCAACCCCGGUACUGCAUUGGAAACUGUCGUACUAGAGUGUCGGAGGGGUAAGCGGAAUUCCUAGUGUAGCGGUGAAAUGCGUAGAUAUUAGGAGGAACACCAGUGGCGAAGGCGGCUUACUGGACGAUAACUGACGCUGAGGCUCGAAAGCGUGGGGAGCAAACAGGA
This 573-nucleotide ribosomal RNA is filed under the name uncultured bacterium. RNAcentral's name for it is "bacterial SSU rRNA". It matches the Rfam family "Bacterial small subunit ribosomal RNA", at positions 185 to 777 of the family's 1533-position model. The record is from RNAcentral.